UGCGCAGGCGGUUGGGUAAGACAGAUGUGAAAGGCAUGGGCUCAACCCGUGGACUGCAUUGGAAACUGUCAUACUUGAGUGCCGGAGGGGUAAGCGGAAUUCCUAGUGUAGCGGUGAAAUGCGUAGAUAUUAGGAGGAACACCAGUGGCGAAGGCGGCUUACUGGACGGUAACUGACGUUGAGGCUCGAAAGCGUGGGGAGCAAACA
This 207-nucleotide ribosomal RNA is filed under the name uncultured bacterium. RNAcentral describes it as "partial 16S ribosomal RNA". It matches the Rfam family "Bacterial small subunit ribosomal RNA", at positions 568 to 774 of the family's 1533-position model. The record is from RNAcentral.